CUCUCGGCAACGGAUAUCCCGGCUCUCGCAUCGAUGAAGAACGUAGCGAAAUGCGAUACUUGGUGUGAAUUGCAGAAUCCCGUGAACCAUCGAGUUUUUGAACGCAAGUUGCGCCCGAUGCCAUUAGGCUGAGGGCACGUCUGCCUGGGUGUCACGUAAAGCUU
RNAcentral lists this ribosomal RNA (164 nucleotides) under Bupleurum angustissimum. Its description in RNAcentral is "5.8S ribosomal RNA". It matches the Rfam family "5.8S ribosomal RNA". Rfam says of the family: 5.8S ribosomal RNA (5.8S rRNA) is a component of the large subunit of the eukaryotic ribosome. Lineage: Eukaryota; Viridiplantae; Streptophyta; Magnoliopsida; Apiales; Apiaceae. The record is from RNAcentral. RNAcentral also lists the same sequence under 3 other names.